CGGCGCACGGGUGCGUAACGCGUAUGCAAUCUGCCUUUCACAGAGGGAUAGCCCAGAGAAAUUUGGAUUAAUACCUCAUAGUAUUAUAGAGCGGCAUCGCUUUAUAAUUAAAGUCACAACGGUGAAAGAUGAGCAUGCGUCCCAUUAGCUAGUUGGUAAGGUAACGGCUUACCAAGGCAACGAUGGGUAGGGGUCCUGAGAGGGAGAUCCCCCACACUGGUACUGAGACACGGACCAGACUCCUACGGGAGGCAGCAGUGAGGAAUAUUGGUCAAUGGGCGCAAGCCUGAACCAGCCAUGCCGCGUGCAGGAUGACGGUCCUAUGGAUUGUAAACUGCUUUUGUACGAGAAGAAACAUCCCGACGUGUCGGGACUUGACGGUAUCGUAAGAAUAAGGAUCGGCUAACUCCGUGCCAGCAGCCGCGGUAAUACGGAGGAUCCAAGCGUUAUCCGGAAUCAUUGGGUUUAAAGGGUCCGUAGGCGGUUUAGUAAGUCAGUGGUGAAAGCCCAUCGCUCAACGGUGGAACGGCCAUUGAUACUGCUAGACUUGAAUUAUUAGGAAGUAACUAGAAUAUGUAGUGUAG
Molecule: ribosomal RNA, 584 nt
Filed under: Flavobacterium sp. EECC-485
Lineage: Bacteria; Pseudomonadati; Bacteroidota; Flavobacteriia; Flavobacteriales; Flavobacteriaceae
Description: bacterial SSU rRNA
Rfam family: Bacterial small subunit ribosomal RNA
Source: RNAcentral